This 2407-nucleotide long non-coding RNA is filed under the name Nicotiana tabacum (common tobacco). RNAcentral's name for it is "long non-coding RNA (NTAB_LNC002420)". Lineage: Eukaryota; Viridiplantae; Streptophyta; Magnoliopsida; Solanales; Solanaceae. The record is from RNAcentral.
UCAGUUCACAAAUGAUAGUCAAGGUGAUGACAUUUAAAGUAGUUAAUAAAGCCAAACAGGAAAAAUCACAAAUUUCACAUUCUAUUGCAGAAAAUAGGCUUCCCUAUUAUUCACUCAAAUAAAUAAAAGAGCUUCCAGUUCAACCUUUUCUUAAGAAGGCUAAUAAGCUGAAAUAACGCAUAGAACCCUUUGAUAUGACCAGGCACUGCAAGAUUUAAAUUACAAACAAAUAGGAUGAAGAAAUUUUCACAAAGAAAAGAGAAGGGCCACACUUUCCACAAAUUUGAGUUAAUCCAAAGUUGAAAUCAUACACAUCCAAAUUGAAAAAACAAACUGAAACUCACCCUCAUAACUAUAAGGAAGAAUAGAAAAGAACAAGCAGUUGCAUUUCUUUAUGGUAUCUCUAUGAAUAACACUGUGAACCAUUUUACAACCAGCCGACUAAUGAGGUCACAGAUUUACUUGGCAUAUGCUGCAAAUUUUCACAGGGAAGUUUUGACAAGCCCCACAAUCAGCUAUUUCAGAUCCAGCAUUAUUAGGUGAAUUAUUCAAAAUAGCAAACAGAAGUUGAAUGUGAACUGGUCAAUAUCAAUCCCCCCUGGUUUGGAUAGUACCGUAUCAACACUUAAUGUUUAGUAAUCAUCAAGCAUAUAUAUCUAUUAUACAAGCGAUACUGUAAUACAAAACAUUUCCUAAGGGAUCAAGUCCACAAUUUUCAGCAGAUACUAAUUAUCAUACCUGUGUAAUCUUAGAAGAAACAGACGGUGUGAUCCUUUUAGAACUAGAGAUAUAGGACAUCAACAUCUCCAUGAAAUGCCGAUGCGGAUAGAUAUGGCAAGACGAUAAGUAUUUGCAAAAAAUGUUACAUCCCUCUCAAAAUUGCACCGCUUCUUGAAGUAUCAACAAAAACAAUAAACCCAGUAGUUUCCCACAAGUGGGGUUUGGGGAGGGUAAGAUGUACGCAGUCUUACCCCUACCCCUGGAAGGGCAGAGAGGCUGUUUCCGAUAGACUCUCGGCUAGAAAACGGCUGAAAAAGAAAAGAUAAUUGCAACAUGUAGGAAUAACAACAAGAUAAAAUAAGAUCGAAUCCAAGAAUUCAGUUAAACUCUAGAUAGUAACAGCACUCUAUGAAUAAAAAGAUAUCAUACUAACACUAAUGCUAGCGAACUGAGUAAGGCAAAGAGAAACGCUCGACCUACUAACCUUCUACCCUAAUCUUUGACCUCCACACCCUCAUGUCUAGGUCCAUGUCCUCAGUCAGCUGUACCAUGUCCCGCCUAAUAACCUCUCCCUAAUACCCUAAUCUUUGACCUCCACACCCUCAUGUCUAGGUCCAUGUCCUCAGUCAGCUGUGCCAUGUCCCGCCUAAUAACCUCUCCCCAAGACUUCUUAGGCCUACCUCUACCCCUUCUGCUAUCCACCGAAGCUAACCUCUAGCACCUUCUAACUGGGGCUUCUAUACUUCUCCUCUUAACAUGCCCGAACCAUCUCAUUCUCGCCUCCCGCAUCUUUAUCCUCCACAUGGGCCACUCCCACCUUUCCCCGAAUAACUUCAUUCCUAAUAUUAUCCAAUCGGGUAUGCCCACACAUCUACCUCAACAUCCUCAUCUCAGCUAAUUUCAGCUUUUGGGUAUGAGAGUUCUUGACCGGCCAACACUCUGCUCCAUGCAAACAUAGUCGGUCUAACUACAACCUUGUAGAACUUACCUGUAAGUCUCAGCAGCACAUUAUUAUCACACAAGACACCCGAAGGAAACCUCCACUUCAUCCAUCUGGCUCUGAUACGAUGCAUGACAUCUUCAUCAAUCUCCGCGUUACCUUGUAUUAUAAUCUCACCGGCACCACUUCUUGAAGCCUUUUCACUAUAAUAUGUAAAAGUGCCAGACUAUUGUAAUCCGUGCGAAUUGUAUUAUUAGGUAAAAUAGCUCAACAAGGCUCAUAAAGAGCCUUUUCUUCACUAGAAAAAGUUAAUUAAAGCUGUUCCAGAGCAUGUACAAUUCGCCUUAAAACUCCUUUUCAACUUUUACAGUUUACACAAGCAAUCAUAUCUAGGUUACAAUUUAGAAACUUCAUGUUCACAGUAUUCAGAAAAACCAUAGUCAAUUCUAUAUAGCAAUAAAAAGUUGGCCAAUAACAAUAGCAAAUUCACUUGAGCUAGCAUUUUGCUGAAAAACCAGCUAACUAAUAGUAUUACAAAAACAUUUAAAGAUACAAUUUUUACCCAUUAAUUGAGCUUAACAUGUUCAAACAAGAAUUAUACAGUGAACAAAGGUCAACCAACUUUAACAUUUACUCAGAAUUAAGACAUAACCAAAGUCAAACCACAUAAUACAUGAAAACUACACACCGGAUUAUAGAUUAAUAUAUACUGUAAUAAGAGAAGAAAACAAACCAAAAGAACCCACC